GAGAUUCGCUAGAGAUAGCUUAGUGCCUUCGGGAACUCUGAGACAGGUGCUGCAUGGCUGUCGUCAGCUCGUGUUGUGAAAUGUUGGGUUAAGUCCCGCAACGAGCGCAACCCUUAUCCUUUGUUGCCAGCACGUAAUGGUGGGAACUCAAAGGAGACUGCCGGUGAUAAACCGGAGGAAGGUGGGGAUGACGUCAAGUCAUCAUGGCCCUUACGAGUAGGGCUACACACGUGCUACAAUGGCAUAUACAAAGAGAAGCGAACUCGCGAGAGCAAGCGGACCUCAUAAAGUAUGUCGUAGUCCGGAUUGGAGUCUGCAACUCGACUCCAUGAAGUCGGAAUCGCUAGUAAUCGUAGAUCAGAAUGCUACGGUGAAUACGUUCCCGGGUCUUGUACACACCGA
This 402-nucleotide ribosomal RNA is filed under the name Ewingella sp. COR262. Its description in RNAcentral is "bacterial SSU rRNA". It matches the Rfam family "Bacterial small subunit ribosomal RNA", at positions 991 to 1393 of the family's 1533-position model. The record is from RNAcentral. Lineage: Bacteria; Pseudomonadati; Pseudomonadota; Gammaproteobacteria; Enterobacterales; Yersiniaceae.